Molecule: ribosomal RNA, 249 nt
Filed under: Triticum aestivum (bread wheat)
Lineage: Eukaryota; Viridiplantae; Streptophyta; Magnoliopsida; Poales; Poaceae
Description: partial small subunit ribosomal RNA
Source: RNAcentral
AUGGUGGAGGAUGAUGGCUCUGGCUUGCCGAUAGUGGUGGAUGAUGUCAUUCACAAGGCCAUCGUCGAGGUAAACGAGGAAGGGACUGAAGCCGCCGCUGGUCUUGGAUGCACAAUGCCAUCACCUCCAACACCUCCACAUGUGGAUUUCAUCGCCGACCAUCCAUUUGCCUACUACAUAGUGGAGGAGGCGACCGGAGCAGUUGUCUUUGCGGGGCACGUCCUCGACCCUACAAGGAGUAAUAAGUAA